AACAGCAGCCUCAUGGCUACAGCCAGGCUCCCUUCCUGAGAACUCAAUGCACUCCAGUCUUUCUGCCUCCUGGCCGUGACUCAACAUCUAGAGAGGUUUCCCCUCCUGUUUCAUACUGUUUCUAGCUCAAACCGUAUUGGACAAAGCAAAGGAAUCGCCUUCACCACAGACUCAACAGACCUCUGUCUGUGCCACACCCUCCUGAAGCAUGUGACACACACCCCACCCAGCACCUUAUCCCAGAGAGGGGAGGGAAGAAGUGCUCCUCAUUGGGCUGCUGAGAGGGGCAGGGAGAAGGUAAGGAAUGUCCUCAGCCACAUGGAGAGGGGGAAUGGUGAUACUGCCUCUUGCGUGACAGAGAGAGAGAGAGAGAGAGAGAGAGAGAGAGAGAGAGAGAGAGAA
Molecule: long non-coding RNA, 402 nt
Filed under: Monodelphis domestica (gray short-tailed opossum)
Lineage: Eukaryota; Metazoa; Chordata; Mammalia; Didelphimorphia; Didelphidae
Description: lncRNA (ENSMODG00000036684.1)
Source: RNAcentral